This 121-nucleotide ribosomal RNA is filed under the name Diaphorina citri (Asian citrus psyllid). The record is from RNAcentral. Lineage: Eukaryota; Metazoa; Arthropoda; Insecta; Hemiptera; Psyllidae.
GCCCGCGGUGAUAGCACGUUUAAUACAUCAGUUCCUGACGGACUACUGAAGUUAAGCAACGUUGCGCGUGGUUGGUAUGUGGUGGGGUGACUAUCAGGGCAAUCCCUGCCCCACUCAAGCU